CAGUCGCCGCGGUAAGACAGAGGAUGCAAGCGUUAUCCGGAAUGAUUGGGCGUAAAGCGUGCGUAGGUGGUGGUUUAAGUCCGUUGUGAAAGCCCUGGGCUCAACCUGGGAAUUGCAGUGGAUACUGGGUCACUAGAGUGUGGUAGAGGAUAGUGGAAUUUCCGGUGUAGCAGUGAAAUGCGUAGAGAUCGGAAGGAACAUCUGUGGCGAAGGCGACUAUCUGGGCCAACACUGACACUGAGGCACGAAAGCGUGGGGAGCAAACAGGAUUAGAUACCCCCGUAGUCCCUGUCUCUUAUAC
Molecule: ribosomal RNA, 301 nt
Filed under: uncultured bacterium
Lineage: Bacteria
Description: partial 16S ribosomal RNA
Rfam family: Bacterial small subunit ribosomal RNA
Source: RNAcentral